GGUCAAAAGUUCUCUUCAGCUUGC
Molecule: non-coding RNA, 24 nt
Filed under: Arabidopsis thaliana (thale cress)
Lineage: Eukaryota; Viridiplantae; Streptophyta; Magnoliopsida; Brassicales; Brassicaceae
Source: RNAcentral